GUGCCAGCAGCCGCGGUAAUACGUAGAGAGCAAGCGUUGUCCGGAAUCAUUGGGCGUAAAGGGUACGCAGGUGGUUUGAUAAGUCAGAGGUGAAAUCCACCAGCUCAACUGGUGAACUGCCUUUGAUACUGUUAGACUUGAGGAUAAGAGAAGAAAACGGAAUUCCUAGUGUAGUGGUGAAAUACGUAGAUAUUAGGAAGAAUACCAAUGGCGAAAGCAGUUUUCUAACUUAUUCCUGACGCUGAGGUACGAAAGCUAGGGUAGCAAACGGGAUUAGAAACCCGGGUAGUCC
Molecule: ribosomal RNA, 292 nt
Filed under: uncultured bacterium
Lineage: Bacteria
Description: partial 16S ribosomal RNA
Rfam family: Bacterial small subunit ribosomal RNA
Source: RNAcentral